Molecule: ribosomal RNA, 352 nt
Filed under: uncultured bacterium
Lineage: Bacteria
Description: bacterial SSU rRNA
Rfam family: Bacterial small subunit ribosomal RNA
Source: RNAcentral
GGUGGUGCAUGGUUGUCGUCAGCUCGUGUCGUGAGAUGUUGGGUUAAGUCCCGCAACGAGCGCAACCCUUAAGCUUAGUUGCCAUCAUUAAGUUGGGCACUCUAGGUUGACUGCCGGUGACAAACCGGAGGAAGGUGGGGAUGACGUCAAAUCAUCAUGCCCCUUAUGAUUUGGGCUACACACGUGCUACAAUGGAUAAUACAAAGGGCAGCGAAUCCGCGAGGCCAAGCAAAUCCCAUAAAAUUAUUCUCAGUUCGGAUUGUAGUCUGCAACUCGACUACAUGAAGCUGGAAUCGCUAGUAAUCGUAGAUCAGCAUGCUACGGUGAAUACGUUCCCGGCUCUUGUACACAC